GGUUGCUGCACCCCGCAUGACGAGCGGCGGACCCUUGAGAUAAUGCAUAGGAAUCUGCCCAGUUAGUGGGGGAUAGCCCGGGGAAACCCGGAUUAAUACCGCAUACGCCCUACGGGGGAAAGCAGGGGAUCUUCGGACCUUGCGCUAUUGGAUGAGCCUAUGUCGGAUUAGCUUGUUGGUGGGGUAAUGGCUCACCAAGGCGACGAUCCGUANCUGGUCUGAGAGGAUGAUCAGCCACAUCGGGACUGANACACGGNCCGAACUCCUACGGGAGGCAGCAGUGGGGAAUAUUGGACAAUGGGGGCAACCCUGAUCCAGCCAUGCCGCGUGUGUGAAGAAGGCUUUCGGGUUGUAAAGCACUUUCAGUGAGGAGGAAAACCUUAUGGCUAAUAC
Molecule: ribosomal RNA, 393 nt
Filed under: Marinobacter sp. UBF16
Lineage: Bacteria; Pseudomonadati; Pseudomonadota; Gammaproteobacteria; Pseudomonadales; Marinobacteraceae
Description: bacterial SSU rRNA
Rfam family: Bacterial small subunit ribosomal RNA
Source: RNAcentral